CACUCCCAAUCUCAACAACGAUUCGCUUCAACCUUCUAUCGUUUUCAAAUCUCACCACUUUCCAUUCUUCAAGGUUUGUUUUUUUCUAACCUCUUUUUAUCUUUCUUAAUUUGGGGUGUUUUCAACUCUAACUGGCCUCAACAUAAACCUCUCGCUCCCAAUUUUGAAUCUUUUUGGGUUUUUCUUUCUGGGUUUGGUUCAUUUUUUAUGGGUUUUGCUUUUUGUUACUUAAUUAUGAUUUAUCUUGUGCCUGGAAAAUUUUUGAUUGAAAAAGGAGGGUUUUUUUCCUUUCUGAUUUACAUAUGUUGCAUGUCCUUCUUGAAUAUCUUGGUCUAA
Molecule: non-coding RNA, 336 nt
Organism: Vicia faba (fava bean)
Lineage: Eukaryota; Viridiplantae; Streptophyta; Magnoliopsida; Fabales; Fabaceae
Source: the annotation of a GenBank genome assembly